Molecule: transfer RNA, 69 nt
Filed under: Cavia porcellus (domestic guinea pig)
Lineage: Eukaryota; Metazoa; Chordata; Mammalia; Rodentia; Caviidae
Rfam family: tRNA
About the family: Transfer RNA (tRNA) molecules are approximately 80 nucleotides in length.
Source: Rfam by way of RNAcentral
GGGGCUAUAGCUCAGUGGUAUAGCACCUGCCUGGCAAGCUUGAGGUCCUGAGUUUGAUUCCCAGUACCA